Molecule: ribosomal RNA, 489 nt
Filed under: uncultured bacterium
Lineage: Bacteria
Description: bacterial SSU rRNA
Rfam family: Bacterial small subunit ribosomal RNA
Source: RNAcentral
GACGAACGCUGGCGGCGUGCCUAACACAUGCAAGUCGAGCGGGGAUAGGGCUUCGGUCCUAUUCUAGCGGCGGACGGGUGAGUAACGCGUGAACAAUCUGUCCUGUACAGGGGGAUAACACUUGGAAACAGGUGCUAAUACCGCAUAAGCCCACAGCCCGGCAUCGGGCAGGGGGAAAAGGGGCAACUCGGUAUAGGGUGAGUUCGCGUCCCAUUAGCUGGUUGGCGGGGUAAAGGCCCACCAAGGCAACGAUGGGUAGCCGACCUGAGAGGGUGAUCGGCCACACUGGAACUGAGAAACGGUCCAGACUCCUACGGGAGGCAGCAGUGGGGAAUAUUGGGCAAUGGGGGAAACCCUGACCCAGCAACGCCGCGUGAGGGAAGAAGGCUUUCGGGUCGUAAACCUCUGUCCCAUGGGAAGAGCAGAAGACGGUACCAUGGGAGGAAGCCCCGGCUAACUACGUGCCAGCAGCGCGUAAACUAGUCUACG